GCUUGGUUAGCUCAGUUGGUAAAGCUUGAGACUCUUGAUCUUGGGGUUGUGAGUUUGAUCCCCAUGUUGGGCA
RNAcentral lists this transfer RNA (73 nucleotides) under Canis lupus familiaris (dog). It matches the Rfam family "tRNA". From Rfam's summary of the family: Transfer RNA (tRNA) molecules are approximately 80 nucleotides in length. Their secondary structure includes four short double-helical elements and three loops (D, anti-codon, and T loops). Further hydrogen bonds mediate the characteristic L-shaped molecular structure. tRNAs have two regions of fundamental functional importance: the anti-codon, which is responsible for specific mRNA codon recognition, and the 3' end, to which the tRNAs corresponding amino acid is attached (by aminoacyl-tRNA synthetases). tRNAs cope with the degeneracy of the genetic code in two manners: having more than one tRNA (with a specific anti-codon) for a particular amino acid; and 'wobble' base-pairing, i.e. permitting non-standard base-pairing at the 3rd anti-codon position. RNAcentral also lists the same sequence under 1 other name. Lineage: Eukaryota; Metazoa; Chordata; Mammalia; Carnivora; Canidae. The record is from Rfam by way of RNAcentral.